Lemur catta (Ring-tailed lemur) is the source of this 104-nucleotide small nucleolar RNA. RefSeq annotates it as small nucleolar RNA U13. The transcript has a single exon. NCBI's taxonomy places the organism in Eukaryota, Metazoa, Chordata, Mammalia, Primates, Lemuridae. The record is from RefSeq and is a predicted model, not a curated record.
GUGCUUUUGUGGAUCUUAAGCAUGAUGGUUGGGUUUUCACAUGCAGGUGUGAGACAUGCUUUCCUCAAACCUUGUUACCACUUUGGCACUUUACCCAUCUGACA